GGCUGCAGAGGCUGCGCCCUCCCCGCUCCUGGCCUUGAGGCUGCUCUGUUCCUGAGCUGGGCACAGAAGCUGCAGUGACUCAAGGUCCACCGUGGGGUCGGACCUCGCCCUGGGCCCAGCUGUGUGCUGUAGAGCAGAGGGUUCUGUGGAUGACCGUGGCUUCCAGGAAAGGCUCUGACCCCUUAGGCUUCCAUGCCACAAGCAUCAACCUGGCCACAUCCAGGCCCAGGGCUCUGGCCGGGUAGCCUCCCUGGACCCUUCACUCAGGACAGCCAGGGCGCCAUCGGACACACUCGGUGGAAGGAGGCCACAGCCCGUCUCUGCUUCCGCUGCCACUGCUGAGCUUUGCGGCCCAGCUGUUCUGGUGACUCAGAGGAAAGUCUGCAGCCCGUCCCAGCUUAUCUCUGGCUUACUUCCGCAAGGACCCAUCCACGCUUGGAGUCCUGAGAAUCCCUGGGAAGAAGUCAGCAUGUGGUAGCAGAGCGCGUGUGGACAGACCUUCCUCAGGGCAGCCAAUGGCCAGCGAAAGCCGGAGAUGAGGUCCAGCAUCCCUGGCCACCAGGGAUCCGGAAUUAAAAGACUCUGACACUCUGGCUAAAAGGCAGGGGUUUGUUCCACGGAAGUUCAUCCACCUGGAGAGAGACACAGGUGCAGCACAUCCACCCCAGCAACACUCUCCAGGGAAAAGGGAAACCGAGGCACACAGGGAAUUUCCGAAGCCAGUGCACAGAGGACAUUCGAUGUCACACUCCAGAUGGCAUUUGAAAGAAAAAUUAAACAAAAAUUUAAACCUAACAAUUUAAACAUUUAGUAAACAGAAACUUCUCAUGA
Callithrix jacchus (white-tufted-ear marmoset) is the source of this 831-nucleotide non-coding RNA. The record is from RefSeq and is a predicted model, not a curated record. Lineage: Eukaryota; Metazoa; Chordata; Mammalia; Primates; Cebidae.